AUUCCAGCUCCAAUAGCGUAUAUUAAAGUUGUUGCGGUUAAAAAGCUCGUAGUUGGAUUUCUGCCAAAGUCAGCCGACCCCUUCGGGGCGUCAGGCAGACUGCGGCUUUUCUUGGUGAACGUGUUGGCACUUGAUUGUGCUGUACGUACUCCAGGGCAUUUACUUUGAGGAAAUUAGAGUGUUUCAAGCAGGCAUCUGCCUUGAAUACAUUAGCAUGGAAUAAUAGGAUAGGACUUCGGUUCUAUUUUGUUGGUUUCUAGAACUGAGGUAAUGAUUAAUAGGGAUAGUCGGGGGCAUUCGUACUUAACUGUCAGAGGUGGAAUUCUUGGAUUUGUUAAAGACGAACUACUGCGAAAGCAUUUGCCAAGGAUGUUUUCAUCA
RNAcentral lists this ribosomal RNA (381 nucleotides) under Dinophyceae sp. RNAcentral describes it as "partial small subunit ribosomal RNA". It matches the Rfam family "Eukaryotic small subunit ribosomal RNA", at positions 582 to 975 of the family's 1831-position model. Lineage: Eukaryota; Dinophyceae. The record is from RNAcentral.